This 102-nucleotide microRNA precursor is filed under the name Marmota monax (woodchuck). The record is from RNAcentral. Lineage: Eukaryota; Metazoa; Chordata; Mammalia; Rodentia; Sciuridae.
AGACGGAUAGCUAGGUCAAAUGGUGGUUCCAUCCAAGUUUUCCAAGGAAUUUCCAAACUGCUUUCCAGACUGGUUGUACCAAUUUGAAGUCUCACCAGCAAU